This 402-nucleotide ribosomal RNA is filed under the name uncultured soil bacterium. Its description in RNAcentral is "bacterial SSU rRNA". It matches the Rfam family "Bacterial small subunit ribosomal RNA", at positions 26 to 448 of the family's 1533-position model. The record is from RNAcentral.
AGAACGAACGCUGGCGGCAUGCCUAAUACAUGCAAGUCGAACGAACUCUUCGGAGUUAGUGGCGCACGGGUGCGUAACGCGUGGGAAUCUGCCCCUUGGUUCGGAAUAACAGUUGGAAACGACUGCUAAUACCGGAUGAUGACGAAGGUCCAAAGAUUUAUCGCCAAGGGAUGAGCCCGCGUAGGAUUAGCUAGUUGGUGAGGUAAAGGCUCACCAAGGCAACGAUCCUUAGCUGGUCUGAGAGGAUGAUCAGCCACACGUGGGACUGAGACACGGCCCAGACUCCGUACGGGAGCAGCAGUAGGGAAUAUGGACAAGUGGGACGAAAGCCUGACUCCAGCAAGUCGACCGCGUGAGUGAUAGAACGGUCGUUAGGUUAGUAAAGCUUACUUUUACCGAGUA